This 429-nucleotide ribosomal RNA is filed under the name Verrucomicrobiota bacterium. RNAcentral's name for it is "Verrucomicrobia bacterium partial 16S ribosomal RNA". It matches the Rfam family "Bacterial small subunit ribosomal RNA", at positions 355 to 776 of the family's 1533-position model. Lineage: Bacteria; Pseudomonadati; Verrucomicrobiota. The record is from RNAcentral.
UAGGGAAUCUUCGGCAAUGGGGGGAACCCUGACCGAGCAACGCCGCGUGAGUGAUGAAGGUUUUCGGAUCGUAAAGCUCUGUUGUUAAGGAAGAACGAGUGUGAGAAUGGAAAGUUGAUGCUGUGACGGUACUUAACCAGAAAGGGACGGCUAACUACGUGCCAGCAGCCGCGGUAAUACGUAGGUCCCGAGCGUUGUCCGGAUUUAUUGGGCGUAAAGCGAGCGCAGGCGGUUAGAAAAGUCUGAAGUGAAAGGCAGUGGCUCAACCAUUGUAGGCUUUGGAAACUGUUUAACUUGAGUGCAGAAGGGGAGAGUGGAAUUCCAUGUGUAGCGGUGAAAUGCGUAGAUAUAUGGAGGAACACCGGUGGCGAAAGCGGGUCUCUGGUCUGUAACUGACGCUGAGGAGCGAAAGCGUGGGGAGCGAACAGG